Molecule: ribosomal RNA, 253 nt
Filed under: uncultured bacterium
Lineage: Bacteria
Description: partial 16S ribosomal RNA
Rfam family: Bacterial small subunit ribosomal RNA
Source: RNAcentral
GACAGAGGCCACGAACGUUGUUCGGAAUCACUGGGCAUAAAGCGCACGUAGGCGGCUAGGUCCGUCCGAUGUGAAAGCCCCCGGCUCAACCCGGGGAAUUGCAUCGGAUACAGCCUGGCUUGAGGACGGUUGGGGUGAGUGGAACUCCUGGUGGAGCGGUGAAAUGCGUAGAUAUCAGGAGGAACACCGGUGGCGAAAGCGGCUCACUGGACCGUUGCUGACGCUGAGGUGCGAAAGCUAGGGAGCAAACGGG